RNAcentral lists this ribosomal RNA (814 nucleotides) under Paralepetopsis ferrugivora. RNAcentral's name for it is "partial large subunit ribosomal RNA". It matches the Rfam family "Eukaryotic large subunit ribosomal RNA", at positions 367 to 944 of the family's 3401-position model. The record is from RNAcentral. Lineage: Eukaryota; Metazoa; Mollusca; Gastropoda; Neolepetopsidae.
AAAAGAACUUUGAAGAGAGAGUUCAAGAGACCGUGAAAGCGCCUACGGGCAAACGGGUGGAACCGCCGGUGCGACCAGCGGAAUCCAGCUCGCCGGGCUAAGGCGGCUCCUCGCGGCUGUCGAGACUCGACCUUUUCGGAGGCUGGGCUCGGCGACGCGAGUGGGUCCGUCCCCGUCGGCGUACCUUCCGCUGCUUGUCGCGAGUCGCGACCGGCUCGAAGUGCUUCGUCUCGGCUGGUGGUCAGGCAAGGGGCGCGCCUCUCGGGGCGUUUUGCACCCGUCUUCGGACAGCCUGCAUCGGUCGGUCUGACGGCGAACGUAGCUUCGGGCCGAGGAACGGCCCCGUUCCCGCUCCCGACCAAGUCUCCCGGCGACGCCGCGGCCGUCUUGACUGCCUCUACGAGGCUUAACAGUGCAAGCGCGGUCGCUCGGUCGGCGUCGGCGAGGCGGCGGGCUUGGGGAACGGUCUUAGAGGGUCCGCGGCUGGCCGUGGCGGCACUCUUCCCGACCCGUCUUGAAACACGGACCAAGGAGUCUAACGUGAGCGCAAGUCACAGGGAAAAACACUCCCUUGGGGCGCAGCGAAAGCGACGUGGUCCGAUCCCUCCUCGGGUGAGGGGGGCGCAGGACCGGCCCGUCGGGGGUUGUUACGGCCUCGGCGGAGCAAGAGCGCCCGCGUUGGGACCCGAAAGAUGGUGAACUAGGCCCGAGCGGGACGAAGCCGGGAGAAAUGCUGGUGGAGGUCCUAAGUGGUUCUGACGCGCAAAUCGAUCACGGAACUUGGGCGUAGGGGCGAAAGACUAAUCGAACCAUC